This 468-nucleotide ribosomal RNA is filed under the name uncultured bacterium. Its description in RNAcentral is "partial 16S ribosomal RNA". It matches the Rfam family "Bacterial small subunit ribosomal RNA", at positions 28 to 507 of the family's 1533-position model. The record is from RNAcentral.
GACGAACGCUGGCGGCGUGCUUAACACAUGCAAGUCGAACGGAAAGGCCCUGCUUUUGUGGGGUGCUCGAGUGGCGAACGGGUGAGUAACACGUGAGUAACCUGCCCUUGACUUUGGGAUAACUUCAGGAAACUGGGGCUAAUACCGGAUAGGAGCUCCUGCUGCAUGGUGGGGGUUGGAAAGUUUCGGCGGUUGAGGAUGGACUCGCGGCUUAUCAGCUUGUUGGUGGGGUAGUGGCUUACCAAGGCUUUGACGGGUAGCCGGCCUGAGAGGGUGACCGGCCACAUUGGGACUGAGAUACGGCCCAGACUCCUACGGGAGGCAGAAGUGGGGAAUAUUGCACAAUGGGCGGAAGCCUGAUGCAGCAACGCCGCGUGCGAGAUGACGGCCUUCGGGUUGUAAACCGCUUUCGCCUGUGACGAAGCGUGAGUGACGGUAAUGGGUAAAGAAGCACCGGCUAACUACGUG